CAAUAUUUGCAUUUUCCCCAUCAGCGUACAUCCCAAACCUGUCAACGAGUGGCAGGGGGUGGCACUGCCUGUCACAUCUCUGCUUUUGGAAAAGAUCAGAACCCUGAUGGUGCAGCCAUACUGCAGUUUCCAUAGCAAAUCUCAGACAAGAUGUUCCCCAGGAGAGUUUUUUGAUAUCACCAUUUUUCAGUGGCAACACCAGGUCUGGUACAUUUGGCAGAAAAAGUAAUGAGGAGAUGAUCAGGAACAGAUAACAGAACACCCAAAGGAUGAAGCAAAAUGAGGAAAUUGCCUCCCAGGUGCUGUUUUGAUAUCCCACUUGUGAACAUCUCCUAGGUAAGGCCAUCCAAACUA
This 354-nucleotide long non-coding RNA is filed under the name Cyanistes caeruleus (blue tit). Its description in RNAcentral is "lncRNA (ENSCCEG00000003043.1)". Lineage: Eukaryota; Metazoa; Chordata; Aves; Passeriformes; Paridae. The record is from RNAcentral.